This 506-nucleotide ribosomal RNA is filed under the name uncultured bacterium. RNAcentral's name for it is "partial 16S ribosomal RNA". The record is from RNAcentral.
GGAGUUAGCCGGUGCUUCUUCUGCGAGUAACGUCACAGAUGUAAGGUAUUAACUUACACCCUUUCCUCCUCGCUGAAAGUGCUUUACAACCCGAAGGCCUUCUUCACACACGCGGCAUGGCUGCAUCAGGGUUUCCCCCAUUGUGCAAUAUUCCCCACUGCUGCCUCCCGUAGGAGUCUGGGCCGUGUCUCAGUCCCAGUGUGGCUGAUCAUCCUCUCAGACCAGCUAGGGAUCGUCGCCUAGGUGAGCCUUUACCUCACCUACUAGCUAAUCCCACCUGGGCUUAUCCAUCAGCGCAAGGCCCGAAGGUCCCCUGCUUUCCCCCGUAGGGCGUAUGCGGUAUUAGCAGUCGUUUCCAACUGUUAUCCCCCACAAUGGGCAAAUUCCCAGGCAUUACUCACCCGUCCGCCGCUCGUCAUCUUCAAAGCAAGCUUUUGAAUGUUACCGCUCGACUUGCAUGUGUUAGGCCUGCCGCAGCGUUCAAUCUGAACCAGAUCAAAUUCUGA